GAUGAACGCUAGCGGCAGGCUUAAUACAUGCAAGUCGAGGGGCAUCAAGGUACACGAAAGUGUAUUGUUGGCGACCGGCGGACGGGUGAGUAAUAGGUAGGUAACCUACCUCAUACUGAGGCAUAGCUGGGAGAAAUUCCAGGUAAUUCCUCAUGAGGUUAUAUGACACAUGUGAUAUAAUCAAAGGUAUCGCAAGGUACUGGUAUGAGAUGGGCUUACUGACCAUUAGCUAGUUGGUGAGAUAAGAGCUCACCAAGGCGAAGAUGGUUAGGGGUUUUGAGAGAGAGAUCCCCACAUUGGAACUGAGAUACGGUCCAGACUCCUACGGGAGGCAGCAGUAGGGAAUAUUGGGCAAUGGGCGGAAGCCUGACCCAGCCAUGCCGCGUGAAGGAAGACGGCCUUAUGGGUUGUAAACUUCUUUACUAUGCGACUAACUAGAUUUACGAGAUAAUUCUAUAGAAUGUAGCAUAGCAAAAAGCACCGGA
This 485-nucleotide ribosomal RNA is filed under the name uncultured bacterium. RNAcentral's name for it is "bacterial SSU rRNA". It matches the Rfam family "Bacterial small subunit ribosomal RNA", at positions 28 to 497 of the family's 1533-position model. The record is from RNAcentral.